RNAcentral lists this ribosomal RNA (507 nucleotides) under uncultured bacterium. RNAcentral's name for it is "partial 16S ribosomal RNA". The record is from RNAcentral.
GGAGUUAGCCGGUGCUUCUUCUGUGAGUGAUGUCCUUCCUGCCGGCUAUUAACCCGCAGGACUUCUUCCUCACUGAAAGUGCUUUACAACCCGAAGGCCUUCUUCACACACGCGGCAUGGCUGGAUCAGGGUUGCCCCCAUUGUCCAAUAUUCCCCACUGCUGCCUCCCGUAGGAGUCUGGGCCGUGUCUCAGUCCCAGUGUGGCUGAUCAUCCUCUCAGACCAGCUACGGAUCGUCGCCUUGGUGAGCCGUUACCUCACCAACCAGCUAAUCCGACAUAGGCUCAUCCGAUAGCGCGAGGCCCGAAGGUCCCCCGCUUUCCCCCGUAGGGCGUAUGCGGUAUUAGCCUGGGUUUCCCCAGGUUAUCCCCCACUACCGGGCAGAUUCCUAUGCAUUACUCACCCGUCCGCCGCUCGCCACCAGGGAGCAAGCUCCCCGUGCUGCCGCUCGACUUGCAUGUGUUAGGCCUGCCGCCAGCGUUCAAUCUGAGCCAGGAUCAAACUCUGA